GGGUUGUGAGGUUAAGCGAACAAGCGUACACGGUGGAUGCCCUGGCAGUCAGAGGCGAUGAAGGACGUGCUAAUCUGCGAAAAGCGCCGGUAAGGUGAUAUGAACCGUUAUAACCGGCGAUGUCCGAAUGGGGAAACCCGGUGCACUUCGGUGCAUCAUCGUUAGCUGAAUACAUAGGCUAACGAGGCGAACCGGGGGAACUGAAACAUCUAAGUACCCCGAGGAAAAGAAAUCAACCGAGAUUCCCCCAGUAGCGGCGAGCGAACGGGGA
Molecule: ribosomal RNA, 271 nt
Filed under: Acinetobacter baumannii
Lineage: Bacteria; Pseudomonadati; Pseudomonadota; Gammaproteobacteria; Moraxellales; Moraxellaceae
Description: partial 23S ribosomal RNA
Rfam family: Bacterial large subunit ribosomal RNA
Source: RNAcentral